UCGUCUGUAUUUCCGCCGGCGCGAAACGAGCGUAGCUUCCUUGUCGUGUGGCCUCAGUCCUUCGCCGUCCCUCGCCGUCCUUCGCCAUCGCACGCCACCGCACCCCAUCUCUCGAAAUCUGCAGACAUCUUGAUUUUUCCCACGCUGUCUGUCAGGUCUCCGCCGCCACUCGACGCCAGGGCGCCGGGCCUUGUGGGCUGUGCUGCACCUCGGACGGCUUCGCACCAGCCAGCGCCCUCUCUCUCCUGCAGCACUCUGAUCUGCACCCCCUGAGGGGCUUCCACUGUCCGCGGGGUGAGAAUGCCCCUGGGAGUGUCACAUGACUGCCGCCCCAUGUGUGUGAGAGGCGUCCUCUGGGAGAGCAUGGAUCCUGAGGUCCCAGGAUUGUCAGCUGACCUCUGUCCUGUGUGCCCAGUGGCCCCAGGUGACGUGUCUUCAAGAAGAGGCUGAGCUGCGGUGCUUGUAAGGUCUCAGCCUUAGAUCCAAGGACAGUCCAAGGAAGUCCUAAGACCAUGGAGUUGGUGAUCUGGGAUCUGGGUUUGCUGAUAUUUCUCACCGUGAAUCUCUUGGUGGUGUUUGUGGGCACGAGAGGGGCAGAGAAUGGAGAGUGAGGCUACCACAUGAAGCGUCACCAGAGCUGCUCCCUGCUGCCUGCUCAGAGCACCCCGGAUCCACUGUUCAAUCUGCACAAGAUUCGGGGUCCAGACAUGGGAGACUUCAGCUGCCUCAGAGGACCGUGGACAGGGAAGGCCAGCCUCGCAUCCCUCUGUCCAUGCCUGGAAUGACUUUAAUAACCAAGAGUUUUAUUUUUGAAUUUGUAGCUGUCGUUCACUUUUUACCCACCCAUUCAAUAAACCUUACAGAAUUGCUCCAU
This 874-nucleotide long non-coding RNA is filed under the name Homo sapiens (human). Lineage: Eukaryota; Metazoa; Chordata; Mammalia; Primates; Hominidae. The record is from RNAcentral.